Molecule: long non-coding RNA, 305 nt
Filed under: Dromaius novaehollandiae (emu)
Lineage: Eukaryota; Metazoa; Chordata; Aves; Casuariiformes; Dromaiidae
Description: lncRNA (ENSDNVG00000003105.1)
Source: RNAcentral
UAAGUAACACAUCUACCACUUCGCGAAGAAGCAGCUGAUUUAUUUGACAGUGCCAACACAUCCAAAGACUUCUUUUUCACCGAAGCUAGCAGGAACUAGUUGAAUAGCUACAUCUGUACCUGGGGAGCAAUGGAGAGUCAUACAACCUAGGCGAAGUGUUAGUAAAAAGGUAGUCAGGACAACUUCCACCAUCGUCAACAAGGAGGAAGACUGCUUUUCAGACAGCAAUUAGAUCUUUAGCGGGUSACCGUCUGGAGGAGGAAAAGAUUGCUGAAACGAGUUCCAACACUGAAUAAACAGAGGUC